RNAcentral lists this transfer RNA (69 nucleotides) under Listeria monocytogenes. RNAcentral's name for it is "tRNA-Asn". It matches the Rfam family "tRNA". Rfam says of the family: Transfer RNA (tRNA) molecules are approximately 80 nucleotides in length. Their secondary structure includes four short double-helical elements and three loops (D, anti-codon, and T loops). Further hydrogen bonds mediate the characteristic L-shaped molecular structure. tRNAs have two regions of fundamental functional importance: the anti-codon, which is responsible for specific mRNA codon recognition, and the 3' end, to which the tRNAs corresponding amino acid is attached (by aminoacyl-tRNA synthetases). tRNAs cope with the degeneracy of the genetic code in two manners: having more than one tRNA (with a specific anti-codon) for a particular amino acid; and 'wobble' base-pairing, i.e. permitting non-standard base-pairing at the 3rd anti-codon position. The record is from RNAcentral. Lineage: Bacteria; Bacillati; Bacillota; Bacilli; Caryophanales; Listeriaceae.
UCGCUCAGUUGGUAGAGCAAUCGGCUGUUAACCGAUCGGUCGCAGGUUCGAGUCCUGCCUGUGGAGCCA